This 468-nucleotide ribosomal RNA is filed under the name uncultured bacterium. RNAcentral describes it as "partial 16S ribosomal RNA". It matches the Rfam family "Bacterial small subunit ribosomal RNA", at positions 28 to 507 of the family's 1533-position model. The record is from RNAcentral.
GACGAACGCUGGCGGCGUGCUUAACACAUGCAAGUCGAACGGAAAGGCCCUGCUUUUGUGGGGUGCUCGAGUGGCGAACGGGUGAGUAACACGUGAGUAACCUGCCCUUGACUUUGGGAUAACUUCAGGAAACUGGGGCUAAUACCGGAUAGGAGCUCCUGCUGCAUGGUGGGGGUUGGAAAGUUUCGGCGGUUGGGGAUGGACUCGCGGCUUAUCAGCUUGUUGGUGGGGUAGUGGCUUACCAAGGCUUUGACGGGUAGCCGGCCUGAGAGGGUGAACGGCCACAUUGGGACUGAGAUACGGCCCAGACUCCUACGGGAGGCAGCAGUGGUGAAUAUUGCACAAUGGGCGGAAGCCUGAUGCAGCAACGCCGCGUGCGGGAUGACGGCCUUCGGGUUGUAAACCGCUUUCGCCUGUGACGAAGCGUGAGUGACGGUAAUGGGUAAAGAAGCACCGGCUAACUACGUG